Caenorhabditis elegans is the source of this 96-nucleotide non-coding RNA. Lineage: Eukaryota; Metazoa; Nematoda; Chromadorea; Rhabditida; Rhabditidae. The record is from Ensembl.
CGCUUCCAAUUACCCUUUUUAGUCGCCCUUGUGGUCUCUCCCAGUGCACUACUGCACAUUCUACCGGAAACCGCCGACAACUUUUCACUUUUCACC